This is a long non-coding RNA of Hemiscyllium ocellatum (epaulette shark), 1638 nucleotides long. RefSeq lists it as uncharacterized. The transcript is spliced from 5 exons. The record is from RefSeq and is a predicted model, not a curated record. NCBI's taxonomy places the organism in Eukaryota, Metazoa, Chordata, Chondrichthyes, Orectolobiformes, Hemiscylliidae.
UGCUGGCUCACACAGCUUUGAUUUUGCAAGAUUAAAGUUUAAUUUUGUGAAGGAUUUUCUGCGUCUCCUGGUAGUUUUUUUAAAUAGAGCAUUGGUGAUUCUUCCACAACAAAUUUGUCAACGAGGACGGGAUCGGAAAGAGACCAUUCCCUCUGAAAAGAAGUUGCAGCUUCAAGGAGCUGGACCAGUAUUAAGGACUUUCCACGUGACUUGGUGAUGGGGAUGCUGGCUUCUGCGGAGUUAUUUCAGUGGUGACGAGAGUAAAGGACAUUCCUGAAAAAAAACGCAACAAUCUUUUUGAGUUGAGCUGACAUUAGGCGUUGGACACAAGAUCUGGUCGUGGCAAAACUGAAACAGCUGGUGGUGAUGUGGGAAGCCAAACGGUAGUAACCACCAGAAGUGAAAGUUAUUUUUAGACCUGGAGAGACCACAUCACAGGACCUUCGGAAAUCUUGGGGCCAGAUUUUCACUCCUGAGGCAGGUCAUGCAAGUUGGAAAAAUUCCCUUUUUUCAGAAACAGAUCUGAGGCAAAACAGAGGCCCAGAUGUGACAUCAUAUGAAACCUGUAACCUGCUUGUUCUGGAGACAGAAAUUCAAGUCCAAACUUAUGGUGCGAGACCUAUAAUACGAUAUAGCUUUGCCAAGCAAAGGAAAGGUCUGAUAUCCGGUCAAGCUCAAACCAGAGUGCUGAGGAAGAUGAAUCCUCAGUUUGAAGAAAUAAAAUUUGCAAAGAAUUAAAUACCAAAAGAAGAUGCCAGAAAGUGCCUUGUUACAGGAAGUCAAUGCAAUUAUGCUCAAAUUGACUGAGAAGUACAUUGAAAUGGUGGGACCUGGUGGAGCAAGUAGUACAUAUCCUGUGUAAACCAGGAAGUGCCUGGGACUUCAGUUGCAAGAAUUCAGACUUGAUAAUACAUAUCCCAGGAUAUCUGUUUUCACAGCUGGACAAAUAGUUUACUCAGGUGGCUAGCCAAUUCACUUCCCAUCCACCUGCAAACUCAUCGCCAUAACACAGAAGGUGUCAGGCUAUAAAGAGUCCACUGAACUUUAUAUUCCUACACCAAAAUACACUUGGUACAGACAGUUGAAUGAUGUGAAAAGUCCUUUUCAAUUUAGGUUAUAAAAUCAAUGGCUGGGCUAGGCUGCUAUCUUCAGUAGAAACUCUUUGCACAUGGAAGGCAUUCCUCUCCCCCACUUCUUACUAGCUGCCAGCUCUGAAAAACCUAUCCCCAGUCCUUCAUCCUGACAUUUUCAAGCCCUUACCAACCUGGACUUGUUCAGUCCAGGGUCCAUGCUUUGUUCUUCAUGGCCCUGACUGCAGUACCAGCAGCAACCAGGACUGAGCCACACAAUUCUGCUAAGAGUGCAGAGUAAUGUAUAAAUAUGGUAUGGGCUGUUCAUUUGCAUUAAUAAAUUAACAGGAAAACCUUUUCUGUAGUUUAGUGUAUUUUAGAAUCAUGGAAUCACCUUAUGGUAUAUAGUUGCUUUAGUUUUGUAUUACAGUGACAGUCUUAAUAUGUGAAACCUUACAUGAUUUUUUGCAUUGGUAAUUGGGAAAUUCAACCCCGCUUUUCAAAGAAAUUGGUCCCUACAGACUGUAUCAAACAGCACUCUGUACUCAUGCAAUAUAAAAUAUUGGUU